This 435-nucleotide ribosomal RNA is filed under the name Triticum aestivum (bread wheat). RNAcentral's name for it is "partial small subunit ribosomal RNA". Lineage: Eukaryota; Viridiplantae; Streptophyta; Magnoliopsida; Poales; Poaceae. The record is from RNAcentral.
AUGGUGGAAGGAUCGGCGAGCGACAUCACGAACCUGAAGUUUCUCCUGCUCUGCUUCCAGCAGAUGUCUGGCCUCAAGAUUAACUUCGAUAAGAGCUCAGUGAUGGCACUAGGAUACUCCGACGCUGAUCGCCGGAGUAUCGCGGACCGGCUCAAUUGCCCGCUUGGGAGUUUCCCCACGACUUAUCUGAGGAUACCCAUUAGUGACUCGAGGCUCACGGUGGCCGAGCUUUGGCCCACGGUGGGCAAGCUCCAGCACCGCGUGGAGCCAUGGCAGGGGAGGUGGCUUUCUAAAGACGCCCGAACGGUGCUGAUCAACUCGUCCCUGUCCAGCCUGCUCCUAUUCAUAAUGAGCUUUUACAGCCUUCCCGAGACUCUGCACCAUGAGAUUGCCAGGGUUCAGGGUCGCUUCUACUAGGCCGGUGAGGGAGACAAG